This is a long non-coding RNA of Bos taurus (domestic cattle), 1453 nucleotides long. NCBI's taxonomy places the organism in Eukaryota, Metazoa, Chordata, Mammalia, Artiodactyla, Bovidae. The record is from Ensembl.
CUCCCUGGCACCCAUCCAUUCUUCUUGGAACAGUAACCUUCCUUCUGUUGGCACAUUGAUUGCCCCACUCUAGUCAUGUGGUUCCAAUGUGGGCCAGAGAUCGUGUCCCUCACCAUUCGUGUAGAGUUGGAUACAUCACUCAAGCCAGGGCAAAGGGAGAUUCUGCAAAUUGGAAUUAAGAGAAGGGGCUCAGUCCUCUGAGAGAGACUUCCCUCAGUUGGUCUUCCCUGGUGGCUCAGCAGUAAAGAAUCCACCUGCCAAGUAGGAGAUGUGGGUUCAAUCCCUGGGCCGGGAAGUUCCCCUGGAGAAGAAAAUGGCAGCCCACUCCAGUAUUCUUGCCUGGGAAAUCCCACAGACAGCGGAGCCUGGCAGGCUACAGUCCAUGGGGUCACAAAAAAUUGGAUUUGACUUGCAACUAAACAGCAACAACCCUCUCAGAUGGCAAAACUGUGAGAUGGAGCCAGAAACUGCAGGUUUCUGUUCCUAGCAACUGAAAAAGUACUGUCUGACCCAGAAAUCCUGAGUUGUCUCUUGGAGGCCACUGUGUCCAGAUACAAGGCUACUCCUGGUCCUGGGCUUCUCAAAGGUCCAGCUUCCCUGGAACAGCUGUUUACUUCACAUGUUGUUUCGUCUAUGUUUAUAGUUUGCCAAGUGGAAGUUUAAAUUGUCCUUCACAAUGACACUUUGAGGGGGACAGGGCAAGGCAGGGUUAUCCCUAUUCUGCAUCAAGGACACUGGGGUAAAGUCACAGCACGACUCACCCCAAAUCACAUAGUUUGGGAGAGGAAGAGCAAGGUCUUGAACCCAAGAUAUGGCUAGGACUCUUUCUACUAUGCUAGGCUCUCUGUCCACUUGGGCAAGAGCAUUGGGCUGGCUCAGAAUAUGUUGCUCAUUCAUUCACCAAAUACCAUGGAGCCUGCACUAGGCCAAGCACCCUUCUCAGAGCAAGGUACAUUGUUGGACAAGACACAGACUCUGUCUUCACAAAGCUGAUGAUCCAGAAUGGAUAAGACCAGUAAACAGGCAUUUAGAAUAAAGUGUGGUCGAUGUGGUGGUAGGGGAAGUACAGGGUCCUUCUGCAGCUGAUGAGAGGGGCAUUGAACCUGAGCUGAGUUAGAAGAGGCUUCUCAGCAGGAUCACUGGAGCCCAUGUGGCACCAUUUUAUGAAUCAGCAAAGCAAGAUGCCUUUCCUCAAAACACGUGACAACCAACUGCUGGAAAAUUGUCAUAAAAAUAUGUAAAUCUGUAAUAUCUAUGCUGUGACACAUCCCAGGUAUGUGCAGUGUGCAACCUGCACAGCCUUGUGAGGCACCUGCUUCCCAGGGAAAUCCGAUUUAAGCUGAGACCCAAAGGCUAAGAGUGAGUUAGCAGACUCCCUACCUGGAGGCCCAGGCAUAAACUGGGUCUGCUGCCAAACUAUUUAUUUAUUUAGGUAACUCAGUCCUCCCAUGGC